UACGAAGGGGGCUAGCGUUGCUCGGAAUUACUGGGCGUAAAGGGCGCGUAGGCGGACAGUUAAGUCGGGGGUGAAAGCCCGGGGCUCAACCUCGGAAUUGCCUUCGAUACUGGCUGUCUUGAGUGCGGGAGAGGUGUGUGGAACUCCGAGUGUAGAGGUGAAAUUCGUAGAUAUUCGGAAGAACACCAGUGGCGAAGGCGACACACUGGCCCGUUACUGACGCUGAGGUGCGAAAGCGUGGGGAGCAAACAGG
RNAcentral lists this ribosomal RNA (253 nucleotides) under uncultured bacterium. RNAcentral's name for it is "partial 16S ribosomal RNA". It matches the Rfam family "Bacterial small subunit ribosomal RNA", at positions 524 to 776 of the family's 1533-position model. The record is from RNAcentral.